UACGUAGGGGCUAGCGUUAUCCGGAAUUACUGGGCGUAAAGGGUGCGUAGGUGGUCUCUUAAGUCAGAGGUGAAAGGCUACGGCUCAACCGUAGUAAGCCUUUGAAACUGGGAAACUUGAGUGCAGGAGAGGAGAGUGGAAUUCCUAGUGUAGCGGUGAAAUGCGUAGAUAUUAGGGGGAACACUGGUGGCGAAGGCGACUUUCUGGACGAUAACUGACGCUGAGACGCGAAAGCGUGGGGAGCAAACAGGAUUAGAUACCCUGGUAGUCCCUGAGCGGG
Molecule: ribosomal RNA, 280 nt
Filed under: uncultured prokaryote
Description: partial 16S ribosomal RNA
Rfam family: Bacterial small subunit ribosomal RNA
Source: RNAcentral